Molecule: ribosomal RNA, 404 nt
Filed under: uncultured prokaryote
Description: bacterial SSU rRNA
Rfam family: Bacterial small subunit ribosomal RNA
Source: RNAcentral
UGGGGAAUAUUGGGCAAUGGGGGGAACCCUGACCCAGCGACGCCGCGUGGGUGAAGAAAUCCCUCGGGAUGUAAAGCUCUGUUGUAUGGGAAGAGCAGAAGACGGUACCAUACGAGGAAGCCCCGGCAAACUACGUGCCAGCAGCCGCGGUAAUACGUAGGGGGCAAGCGUUGUCCGGAAUUACUGGGCGUAAAGCGCACGCAGGCUGAAUUAUAAGUCGGUAGUCAAAUACGGAGGCUCAACCUUCGUCUAUCUAUCGAUACUGUAAAUCUAGAGUAUGUGAGAGGGAAGCGGAAUUCCCGGUGGAGCGGUGAAAUGCGUAGAUAUCGGGAGGAACACCAGUGGCGAAGGCGACUUCCUGGCACAAUACUGACGCUCAUGUGCGAAAGCUAGGGCAGCGAACG